AAGCAUGCAAAGAAUGUCUUUUCUUAUGUUUUCUCAGUUAGUCCAAGUGGCAGCCAGGAGAAGCUGGCCAAGACAGAGCAUCAGAAUCAGGUUUCUUGAGCCAUCAAGACAUUGAUAUCGAAAUCGUAAAUGUAGACAGUUUAAAUAACAGCAUGAAUUUUGACUUAUAUUUUAGACCAAGAGCUGCAAUCCCUGCUUGAUGAGCCUGUGGCUUCUGAGAUGCCCGCUGGAUACAUUGAAGGUCUUCAAGCUGUGGAGAUGAGGAUAAUAAUGAAGCUUUAGAUGAUCCAUAGUGUCAUGUUCCUGACCUUAUUUUCCCUUAUUUUGUAUUUAUUUAGUUGGUCAGGGCGUGAGUUGGGGUGGGGUGUCUGUGUGUUUUCUAUGUUGGGGUUUUUGUGUUCGGCCUGGUAUGAUUCUCAAUCAGAGGCAGCUGUCAAUCGUUGUCCCUGAUUGAGAAUCAUACUUAGGCAGCCGGGGUUUCACGUGUGGUUUGUGGGUGUUUGUUCCUUGUUAGUGUUUUGCCACACGGGACUGUCACGGUAGUUUAAUUUGUUAUUUUGUAUCGCAUAUUUGUUUCCGUGUCUAUUAAAUUACCAUGGAAACUAA
Molecule: long non-coding RNA, 606 nt
Organism: Salvelinus fontinalis (brook trout)
Lineage: Eukaryota; Metazoa; Chordata; Actinopteri; Salmoniformes; Salmonidae
Exons: 2
Source: RefSeq, a predicted model, not a curated record